RNAcentral lists this ribosomal RNA (586 nucleotides) under uncultured bacterium. RNAcentral's name for it is "bacterial SSU rRNA". It matches the Rfam family "Bacterial small subunit ribosomal RNA", at positions 338 to 916 of the family's 1533-position model. The record is from RNAcentral.
CCUACGGGGGGCGGCAGUGGGGAAUCUUCCACAAUGGGCGAAAGCCUGAUGGAGCAACGCCGCGUGAAUGAAGAAGGCCUUAGGGUCGUAAAGUUCUGUCCUUAGGGAAGAACCGUGGGUAUAGAAAAUGAUACCCACCUGACGGUACCUUUGGAGGAAGCACUGGCUAACUACGUGCCAGCAGCCGCGGUAAUACGUAGAGUGCAAGCGUUGUCCGGAAUUAUUGGGCGUAAAGGGUACGCAGGCGGAUAAUCAAGUCAAGCGUGAAAGGUGUCGGCUUAACCGACAGACUGCGUUUGAAACUGGUUAUCUUGAGUGUAACAGAGGAGAGUGGAAUUCCUAGUGUAGUGGUGAAAUACGUAGAUAUUAGGAAGAACACCAGUGGCGAAGGCGACUCUCUGGGUUAACACUGACGCUGAGGUACGAAAGCUGGGGGAGCAAACGGGAUUAGAUACCCCGGUAGUCCCAGCCGUAAACGAUGGAUACUAGGUGUUGGAGGUUCGAAUCCUUCAGUGCCGGAGUUAACGCAUUAAGUAUCCCGCCUGGGGAUUACGAUCGCAAGAUUGAAACUCAAAGGAAUUGACGG